CUGGGCUCUGCUGAGGACCUCUGAGGUGAGCUUUGCUAGAAGAUGCAAUUCUCUACAUGGAAACUAGGAAGAGGAUUUUGCUGACCUGCCCUGGGCUGGGAGUUGGAGUCUGCAUCCCUUGACUUCACACUUGCCAUGGCUGCUGCAAAUGAAAGAUGUGAAAGGGGUGAUCAGGUUUUCUCUUCUGGAGCUGGGCUCUUGGUGAGGUUUCACCGUGAUUGUAGAGAGCAGAGCACAAGAUCUGGAGUGUAACCUGGGAGUGUCCAACUCACCCACUGACAGACAAGUUAAAGAAAAGAUUUUCCUAUGGAUGCUCACAGCUCAGGGAAAACCAAACCAUAAAUGUACUUAUGUAUCCUGAUAUUUAAUGAAUAGAGAUCCCUUUGUUCCUAAGUAGAUGUUGAGACAUCUCUAAUGAUGCUGUUGGAGU
Molecule: long non-coding RNA, 430 nt
Organism: Passer montanus (Eurasian tree sparrow)
Lineage: Eukaryota; Metazoa; Chordata; Aves; Passeriformes; Passeridae
Exons: 3
Source: RefSeq, a predicted model, not a curated record